UACGAAGGGGGCUAGCGUUGCUCGGAAUUACUGGGCGUAAAGGGCUCGUAGGCGGCCAACUAAGUCGGACGUGAAAUCCCCAGGCUCAACCUGGGAACUGCGUCUGAUACUGGAUGGCUUGAAUCCGGGAGAGGGAUGCAGAAUUCCAGGUGUAGCGGUGAAAUGCGUAGAUAUCUGGAGGAAUACCGGUGGCGAAGGCGGCAUCCUGGACCGGCAUUGACGCUGAGGAGCGAAAGCCAGGGGAGCAAACGGG
RNAcentral lists this ribosomal RNA (253 nucleotides) under uncultured bacterium. RNAcentral describes it as "partial 16S ribosomal RNA". It matches the Rfam family "Bacterial small subunit ribosomal RNA", at positions 524 to 776 of the family's 1533-position model. The record is from RNAcentral.